UACGUAGGGGUCGAGCGUUGUCCGGAGUUACUGGGCGUAAAGCGCGCGCAGGCGGCGCGAUAAGACCGGCGUGAAAGCCCCCGGCUCAACUGGGGAGGGUCAUUCGAUACUGAUCGACUCGAAGGCAGGAGAGGGUAGUGGAAUUCCCGGUGUAGUGGUGAAAUGCGUAGAUAUCGGGAGGAACACCAGUGGCGAAGGCGACUACCUGGCCUGUUCUUGACGCUGAGGCGCGAAGGCUAGGGGAGCAAACGGG
This 253-nucleotide ribosomal RNA is filed under the name uncultured bacterium. RNAcentral describes it as "partial 16S ribosomal RNA". It matches the Rfam family "Bacterial small subunit ribosomal RNA", at positions 524 to 776 of the family's 1533-position model. The record is from RNAcentral.